CUAAGUGUCUUAAUCACAAAAUGUCUUUAAAUAUAAAAUUGACUGGCUGUAUCGGAAAUUAUUAGUUUCGUCGAUGUUGUUUUAACGAGUUGCUUAAAACCGAUUUUAGAUUAAAGCUGAGAAAUUUCCGUAGGAAAACAAUUAUAAUUAAAAAUGAGUGCUCAAUUCGUCGCGAAUAACUACAACUAUGGCAGUGAUCCGAUAGAAGUAACGUGUUUCCAUUGUAAAAGCGUUGUUGUUACUAGAACCAUUGAGUCAACAAACGCAAUGUGCUGUUUUCUAUUUGGCUGUUGGUCAUUAAUAUGUCCUGGUUGCCAAGACGUUGAACAUCGAUGCCCACAGUGUAACGUCGUACUUGGAACAUAUAAACCAAGUUAAUGUGAACGUAAGAAAGUUGAUUAAAUCAACAAUUUGUUAUAAAUAAAUAGAAUUUAAAUG
Bradysia coprophila is the source of this 438-nucleotide long non-coding RNA. The record is from RefSeq and is a predicted model, not a curated record. NCBI's taxonomy places the organism in Eukaryota, Metazoa, Arthropoda, Insecta, Diptera, Sciaridae.